AGUGAACGCUGGCGGUAGGCCUAACACAUGCAAGUCGAACGGCAGCACAGUAAGAGCUCGCUCUUACGGGUGGCGAGUGGCGGAUGGGUGAGGAAUACAUCGGAAUCUACUUUUUCGUGGGGGAUAACGUAGGGAAACUUACGCUAAUACCGCAUACGACCUACGGGUGAAAGCAGGGGAUCUUCGGACCUUGCGCGAUUGAAUGAGCCGAUGUCGGAUUAGCUAGUUGGCGGGGUAAAGGCCCACCAAGGCGACGAUCCGUAGCUGGUCUGAGAGGAUGAUCAGCCACACUGGAACUGAGACACGGUCCAGACUCCUACGGGAGGCAGCAGUAGGGAAUAUUGGGCAAUGGGCGCAAGCCUGAUCCAGCCAUACCGCGUGGGUGAAGAAGGCCUUCGGGUUGUAAAGCCCUUUUGUUGGGAAAGAAAAGCAGCAGGUUAAUACCCCGCUGUUCUGACGGUACCCAAAGAAUAAGCACCGGCUAACUUCGUG
Molecule: ribosomal RNA, 492 nt
Filed under: uncultured bacterium
Lineage: Bacteria
Description: partial 16S ribosomal RNA
Rfam family: Bacterial small subunit ribosomal RNA
Source: RNAcentral